GUUGCAUCGUUGUUGAUGACAUUCGUCCCAAGGUGAUGUGGUGUCAUGUUGCUUGUGUAUCUUAGUUUUAGCUUUCGAGCUUGAAACAUGUGGAUAAUCGAUUGGUGACAGACAUCACUCCCUUGGUUGAUGAAAGUCGUCCAAUGAUGUGGUGGUUUGUUUGUUUCGUUCUCGCAUCGUUCGGUGCAUUCUGUGGUCAUUCUGGCUGUUAGCGGCUUGCUUGGCAUUUGUGCUUGGUGGGUUGCUACUAGUUUGGGUGUCUUCGGGGAUGUUUGCCGUAAAGGUGCAUGAGUGGUGUUUGGUUUGUUACGGGUGGUUGGCUCUUUGCUUGCGCAACAACUUCCACCCGGCAUACCUCUUCAGUCUUGUGUCAAUGCUUGUAUUGCAUUGAAUGCAUGACGGGUUUCUUGUGUUGCAUGCCUAAUUAAUGGUAUCGUUUGAUGAAUUGGUUUCCUUUUUCGUCUUGCCUCGCCUACGCGAUGUGAGAUGAACCUUGAAGCAGCCUUUGUGAUCCACACUUUUGAUGCAUAAGCAUUUAUUUUGUGGCUCACUAAUUGUUGCUCAGUCUCAUGGAUAUGGAACCUGGUGUGGGCAUGGAAUCUUAAUGGUUCCUUGUUUGCCCAAGUUUAGCUUUUCUACAACGAUUGUCUAUCA
RNAcentral lists this unclassified non-coding RNA (654 nucleotides) under Helichrysum pulchellum. RNAcentral's name for it is "partial external transcribed spacer". Lineage: Eukaryota; Viridiplantae; Streptophyta; Magnoliopsida; Asterales; Asteraceae. The record is from RNAcentral.